Molecule: ribosomal RNA, 465 nt
Filed under: uncultured bacterium
Lineage: Bacteria
Description: partial 16S ribosomal RNA
Rfam family: Bacterial small subunit ribosomal RNA
Source: RNAcentral
CCUACGGGUGGCUGCAGUGGGGAAUUUUGUGCAAUGCUCGUAAGAGUGACGCAGCGACGCCGCGUGAAUGACGAAGGCCUUCGGGUCGUAAAGUUCUUUCGACAGGGAAGAAAAUGCCUAUAAGUAACUGUGUCUGUAUUUACUUUACCUGUAUAAGCAGCCCCGGCUAACUCCGUGCCAGCAGCCGCGGUAAUACGGAGGGGGCGAGCGUUGGUCGGAGGGACUGGGCGUAAAGAGCACGUAGGCGGUGUUGUAAGUCAUUAGUCAAAGACUAGAGCUCAACUUUAGUAAGGCUAGUGAUACUAUAAUACUAGAGUAUGAGAGAGGAUGGCAGAAUGCGUGGUGUAGCGGUGAAAUGCGUAGAUAUCAGGAGGAAUACCGUUAGCGAAGGCGGCAAUCUGGCUGGAAACUGACGCUGAGGUGCGAAAGCGUGGGUAGCAAACAGGAUUAGAUACCCCUGUAGUC